CGCAGCGAGAGACGAGAGGCGCUUCAGAGACUGGAGGGACGGACCUGCAGGAGCCAGGGCUGCCCGCCGAGCUGCAGUUGCCGCUGCUGCCGCUGUCGCUGUCGCGCCGCCGCUGCUGUCAGCGCCAGAGUGAAGAGUGACAGCGCCACAAAAGCGGGAGGGAGCACCGAACCCCGCGCCUCUACGAAACAGGUGCAUGCGCCCAUCUCCUGGUCAGUGGACCCAGCUCACAAGGUUGCCAUUCAUGAGCCUGAGGCUGUGAGAAAUGCUCGCUGUGCAAAGGGGAACUCUCACCAGAUAUUCUGCAGCUGUCCUAGAAAUACACUCUUCAGACUGAUUCAGCUUUACCAGAUUAUCCAACAAAAGUAUUACCGUAUACAUUAACAACGUCGAAAGUAGCCUACUUUAAGAGGAAAUAUGCAGAAGAAGAAGAUUUACAUCAAGAUUACCAUGGGUAUUUUCCAAAACACCUGAUAUUGCCCGAGGACAGGACUUGCAUUCUCAAACUUUCUCUGGAGAAGCUCAGGUUUCUUGAAGACCCAGAAACCUACUUAAGAAGGUCUGUGUUAAUUAACAAUUUGCUGAGGAAGAUACAUCUAGAGACGGAGAAAGAGAGCUAUGAAUACUUUAAAGAAGCUCCCUGUUAUAAGACUGCUUAUUCUGAUACAAGAAAACGGCUGAAGUUCAUGGUACAGGAAUGCUGUUCUCAGUCUCUUUAUUAUGAAGAGCUGCAUUCAUAUCAUAUUGUGCCUUAUGCUUCGGAGAAUGCCAUUUAUGGAAUGGGCUACACUAGCAGCCACUUGGAGCAAAAUUCUCAGUUGCUUAUUUAUAAAAUGAAUUAAAGUAACUGUUAAGUUCAUUGA
Long non-coding RNA from Suricata suricatta (meerkat), 863 nucleotides. RefSeq lists it as uncharacterized. The transcript is spliced from 4 exons. Lineage: Eukaryota; Metazoa; Chordata; Mammalia; Carnivora; Herpestidae. The record is from RefSeq and is a predicted model, not a curated record. The annotation marks the transcript as partial.